GAGAACCCGGGGUCGCUGUGAGCACCUGUGGGUGGGAAGGAAGCUGGCAGAGCGCUGAGUUUGCUUUUUCUGCAGGCUCGCGCUCUGAUCCGGCACAACGGGACCCCGCAGCUGCAGGAGCCCCGGCGCCUGUCGGCUCUGCUGCGGGACUUCCUCGAGUGCAGCCUGGAGCCGGACAAGGAGCAGCGCUGGUCUGCCCAGGAGCUGCUGCAGCACCCAUUUUUAUCAUCAGCCAAGCCUCUCUCCAGCCUGAACCCUCUGAUCACCACAGCAAAGCAACUGAGGGAGCAGCAGAGGAGAUGAAGCACUGGAGGACAGCUGUUAGUUAUAGUAGCUAGUUAGGACAACUAGUUGGUUAUGGUAGUUAGGACUGCUAGUUGGUUAUGGUAGUUAGGACAGCCUGUUUGUUAUGGUUCUUAUGACAGCCUGUUUGGUAUGGCAGUUUUUUGAAUAAAAACUCUCUUAAACCUCAA
Molecule: non-coding RNA, 473 nt
Organism: Lonchura striata (white-rumped munia)
Lineage: Eukaryota; Metazoa; Chordata; Aves; Passeriformes; Estrildidae
Source: RefSeq, a predicted model, not a curated record